GGAGAGGUGGCUGAGUGGUUGAAAGCACCGGUCUUGAAAACCGACGAGCCUUAACGGGUUCCGGGGGUUCGAAUCCCCCUCUCUCCGCCA
This 90-nucleotide transfer RNA is filed under the name Pseudobdellovibrionaceae bacterium. RNAcentral describes it as "Bdellovibrionaceae bacterium (sponge metagenome) tRNA-Ser". It matches the Rfam family "tRNA". Rfam says of the family: Transfer RNA (tRNA) molecules are approximately 80 nucleotides in length. Lineage: Bacteria; Pseudomonadati; Bdellovibrionota; Bdellovibrionia; Bdellovibrionales; Pseudobdellovibrionaceae. The record is from RNAcentral. RNAcentral also lists the same sequence under 1 other name.